ACAGCUUUUAGAUAAAAAUUGAGAGAAUUGAAAAGUAAAAGUCAUUGAAUAUCUUGGAAUUUAUAUUGAUAAGUUAAAAUUUGAGGAGCACGUUGAAUAUACAGUUAAUAAGAUUGCGAAAAAAAUUGGCCUCGUGAAAAGAUCAUGCAAGUACAUAGAAAAGAGCGACACAAAAGUUGAGAAAAGAAGUACAAAAAAUGCAAAACAGAGCCAUGCGAUUCAUUUUGAAUAAGCGUUAUGAUACAUCCAUACAAGAAAUGAUUAGACUUGAAUUUUAGAACUUUCAUGGAAAGUAAUAAUUUUAGACUACCACUGUUUAGAACAGAAGUUGAUAAGAAAAAUAUAUUUUAUAAAUGAUUAAAAUGUUUUAAAGAGCUACCAACUCAAAUAAAAAAUUCUGUUAACAUGAGCACUUUCAA
This is a long non-coding RNA of Anastrepha obliqua, 419 nucleotides long. RefSeq lists it as uncharacterized. Lineage: Eukaryota; Metazoa; Arthropoda; Insecta; Diptera; Tephritidae. The record is from RefSeq and is a predicted model, not a curated record. The transcript has 2 exons.